GUACACACCGCCGUCGCUCCUACCGAUUGAACGAUCCGGUGAAAUUUGGGAUUGAAGGUAUGCCUUGGGGCAACUCAAGUGAGACUCGUUGAGAAUUGCUUAAACCUUAUCGUUUAGAGGAAGGAGAAGUCGUAACAAGGUAUCCGUAGGUGAACCUGCAGAAGGAUCA
RNAcentral lists this ribosomal RNA (169 nucleotides) under uncultured eukaryote. RNAcentral's name for it is "partial small subunit ribosomal RNA". It matches the Rfam family "Eukaryotic small subunit ribosomal RNA", at positions 1662 to 1828 of the family's 1831-position model. The record is from RNAcentral.